UAGGGAAUAUUGGUAAUGUGCGAAAGCGCGAACCAGCAACGCCGCGUGCGCGAUGAAGGCCUUCGGGUUGUAAAGCGCUUUUUAUGGGGAUGAGGAAGGACAGUACUCAUAGAAUAAGCCUCGGCUAACUACGUGCCAGCAGCCGCGGUAAAACGUAGGAGGCGAGCGUUAUCCGGAUUUACUGGGCGUAAAGCGUGUGUAGGCGGUUUGAUAAGUUGGAUGUGAAAGCUCCUGGCUUAACUGGGAGAGGUCGUUCAAAACUAUC
RNAcentral lists this ribosomal RNA (265 nucleotides) under uncultured bacterium. Its description in RNAcentral is "partial 16S ribosomal RNA". It matches the Rfam family "Bacterial small subunit ribosomal RNA", at positions 355 to 637 of the family's 1533-position model. The record is from RNAcentral.